Molecule: ribosomal RNA, 399 nt
Filed under: uncultured bacterium
Lineage: Bacteria
Description: bacterial SSU rRNA
Rfam family: Bacterial small subunit ribosomal RNA
Source: RNAcentral
AUUGAACGCUGGCGGCAUGCCUUACACAUGCAAGUCGAACGGCAGCGGACCUUCGGGUGCCGGCGAGUGGCGAACGGGUGAGUAAUAUAUCGGAACGUACCUUUCAGUGGGGGAUAACGUAGCGAAAGUUACGCUAAUACCGCAUAUUCUGUGAGCAGGAAAGCAGGGGAUCGCAAGACCUUGCGCUGAUUGAGCGGCCGAUAUCAGAUUAGCUAGUUGGUGAGGUAAAGGCUCACCAAGGCGACGAUCUGUAGCGGGUCUGAGAGGAUGAUCCGCCACACUGGAACUGAGACAACGGUCCAGACUCCUACGGGAGGCAGCAGUGGGGAAUUUUGGACAAUGGGCGCAAGCCUGAUCCAGCCGUGCCGCGUGAGUGAAGAAGGCCUCGGUUGUAAGACU